Molecule: long non-coding RNA, 1194 nt
Filed under: Mytilus galloprovincialis (Mediterranean mussel)
Lineage: Eukaryota; Metazoa; Mollusca; Bivalvia; Mytilida; Mytilidae
Source: RNAcentral
GCACUUUGAUUAUAUAAAUUAGACGGUUGGCUAUCCUGUUUAAAUUGUUUUUCACUAGUCAUUUUGCUGUUCAGUGAGCAAAGAUUGUUGAAGGCCUUACUUUGACCUAUAACUUUAUCCUGACUUGGAUGAAAAGUUCUCAUUGGUCCACAAUGAUUAAAUCAUUAGAAUACUUACUUUGAAAAGGUGUCCAAUAACCCCACCUGCCAACCAAGAUGGGCGACAUGAAUAAUAACAGAACAUAAAAAUGCAAUGCAAGUUUUUUCUUUAAUAAAAUUUAUAAAAACCUUCUAUAAAUAGAGGAAAUUGGAAUGAGGCUGAAAUGUUCACAAUAUCUAACCACUGAAUUUACGUCAAAACUGUGACAACUAUUUUUUUUUCAAUGUUUGUCUAUUAUCUUGAAAAUUAUAAAAGGUAAAGAGAAACUUUUGUAUCAAAAAUGUUCAGCAAGACUAUUUCUUCAACUAAGCCACCAGGGCUGAAGUCAUCGCACUGGCUCCUUAUUAAAGUUAUUUUCUUUUAUUCAAGACGAUUUUUAUAAAAAAAAAAAUGCGUUUUUGCCUAAUACCUCAACAACUAUAAUGGGUAGAUGGAGACCUAAACUAGAUCAAAUAUUAACAUAACUAUUUCUACAAAAAAAUAAAACAUAGCCGAAAUUGGCAGUCAAUUCCUCAUCGGAGUUCUUGUUCUUCAAAAACAAUUUUUAUCAGUAUUUUACGCUUUUAACCAUUAUCUUAAGAUGAGACCGUCACUUUAAAUAGAAAACAUUGUUAUAAGAGGGGCCUGAUUUUUUUUUUGGGGGGGGGGUAGUCUCAUCACGAUUCACAGAAAAUAAAUUUCCAUGAUGACGGAUCACGAAAAUAUAAAAAAAAAAAAAUCUGUUGAAAAACGAAUUACGAUAAUGAAAAUGCGCCGAUCACGAAGAACAAAAAUAACCCAUCAGGCCCCUCUUAUAAGACAAGAUGCUAAAAAAAUGUCAGCAGAUGCUUAUAACCAACCGUCUAACUUACACACAGGUUACAUUUAGUACAUACAUAUGUAUAUGCAUCCUAUUGAAAUGACAUCAUGCCAUGGUAAACUUGUAGAAACAUAUUUUUAAUAGCUAUUGAUUCGUAAACUCUGAAACUAUGUUAUAGAAAUCAAACGAACGUCUUCAUUUCUUGUUUUGGUUUAUAUUUACAACGUUAUAACAUA